UGAAUACGAGAUGCUACGGCGUCGAAGCAGUCUAUGUCAUACUUCCAAGAAAAGCUUGCACUGUCAUAAACAAAUAAUGCCUGUACCAUAACCGACACAGGUGGGUAGGUAGAGUAUACUAAGGGGCGCGAGAUAACUCUCUCUAAGGAACUCGGCAAAAUGACUCCGUAACUUCGGGAGAAGGAGUGCCUUAUUUUUAUAAGGUUGCAAUAACAAGAUCCAAGCAACUGUUUACCAAAAACACAGGUCUCCGCUAAGUCGUAAGACGAUGUAUGGGGGCUGACGCCUGCCCAGUGCCAGAAGGUUAAAGAAGUUGGUUAGCAUCCGCGAAGCUGAUAACUGAAGCCCUGGUGAACGGCGGCCGUAACAAUAACGGUCCUAAGGUAGCGAAAUUCCUUGUCGGGUAAGUUCCGACCCGCACGAAAGGCGUAAUGAUUUGGAUACUGUCUCGGAGAGGGGCUCGGUGAAAUAGACUUGUCUGUGAAGAUGCGGACUACCUGCACCUGGACAGAAAGACCCUAUGAAGCUUUACUGUAACUUGAAAUUGAAAUUGGACUUUACUUGCGCAGUAUAGGUGGGAGGCAUUGAAAAUAUUCUUGCGGGAUUAUUGGAGCCAUCAGUGAGAUAACACUCUUGUAAUGUUAGAUUUCUAACUUUGUAUCAUUAUCUGGUCAAAGAACAGUUUCAGGCGGGCAGUUUGACUGGGGCGGUCGCCUCCUAAACGGUAACGGAGGCGCACAAAGGUUUCCUCUGAACGGGUAGAAAUCGUAUCUAGAGUGUAAAGGCAUAAGGAAGCUUGACUGUGAGACCUACAAGUCGAGCAGGGACGAAAGUCGGUCUUAGUGAUCUGACGGUGCUGAGUGGAAAGGCCGUCACUCAACGGAUAAAAGUUACUCUAGGAUAACAGGCUGAUCUCCCCCAAGAGUUCACAUCGACGGGGAGGUUUGGCACCUCGAUGUCGGCUCAUCGCAUCCUGGGGCGGUAGUACGUCCCAAGGGUUGGGCUGUUCGCCCAUGAAAGCGGUACGCGAGCUGGGUUCAGAACGUCGUGAGACAGUUCGGUCCAUAUCCGGUGUAGGCGUUAGAAUAUUGAGAGGAGCCUUCUCUAGUACGAGAGGACCGAGAAGGACAUACCUCUGGUGUACCAGUUAUCGUGCCAACGGUAAACGCUGGGUAGCUAUGUAUGGAGUGGAUAACCGCUGAAAGCAUCUAGGUGGGAAGCCCACCUCAAGAUAAG
Molecule: ribosomal RNA, 1236 nt
Filed under: metagenome
Description: bacterial LSU rRNA
Rfam family: Bacterial large subunit ribosomal RNA
Source: RNAcentral